This 246-nucleotide ribosomal RNA is filed under the name uncultured bacterium. RNAcentral's name for it is "partial 16S ribosomal RNA". It matches the Rfam family "Bacterial small subunit ribosomal RNA", at positions 87 to 334 of the family's 1533-position model. The record is from RNAcentral.
UCUGGCGACCGGCGCACGGGUGAGUAACACGUAUCCAACCUGCCCUUUACUCGGGGAUAGCCUUUCGAAAGAAAGAUUAAUACCCGAUAGCAUAAUGAUUCCGCAUGGUUUCAUUAUUAAAGGAUUCCGGUAAAGGAUGGGGAUGCGUUCCAUUAGGUUGUUGGUGAGGUAACGGCUCACCAAGCCUUCGAUGGAUAGGGGUUCUGAGAGGAAGGUCCCUCACAUUGGAACUGAGACACGGUCCAA